UGAGUAACCUGCCUUCAGCUUUGGGAUAACCCUCGGAAACGGGGCUAAUACCGGGUAUUCAGCUUCUGCGGCAUCGUGGGGGUUGGAAAGUUUUUCGGCUGGGGAUGGGCUCGCGGCCUAUCAGCCUGUUGGUGGGGUAAUGGCCUACCAAGGCGGCGACGGGUAGCCGGCCUGAGAGGGCGACCGGCCACACUGGGACUGAGACACGGCCCAGACUCCUACGGGAGGCA
RNAcentral lists this ribosomal RNA (230 nucleotides) under uncultured bacterium. RNAcentral describes it as "partial 16S ribosomal RNA". It matches the Rfam family "Bacterial small subunit ribosomal RNA", at positions 118 to 350 of the family's 1533-position model. The record is from RNAcentral.